GACGAACGCUGGCGGCGUGCUUAACACAUGCAAGUCGAACGGAAAGGCCCUGCUUUUGUGGGGUGCUCGAGUGGCGAACGGGUGAGUAACACGUGAGUAACCUGCCCUUGACUUUGGGAUAACUUCAGGAAACUGGGGCUAAUACCGGGUAGGAGCUCCUGCUGCAUGGUGGGGGUUGGAAAGUUUCGGCGGUUGGGGAUGGACUCGCGGCUUAUCAGCUUGUUGGUGGGGUAGUGGCUUACCAAGGCUUUGACGGGUAGCCGGCCUGAGAGGGUGACCGGCCACACUGGGACUGAGAUACGGCACAGACUCCUACGGUAGGCAGCAGUGGGGAAUAGUGCACAAGGGGCGGAAGCCUGAUGCAGCAACGCCGCGUGCGGGAUGACGGCCUUCCGGUUGUAAACCGCUGUUGCCUGUGACGAAGCGUGAGUGACGGUAAUGGGUAAAGAAGCACCGGCUAACUACGUG
RNAcentral lists this ribosomal RNA (468 nucleotides) under uncultured bacterium. RNAcentral's name for it is "partial 16S ribosomal RNA". It matches the Rfam family "Bacterial small subunit ribosomal RNA", at positions 28 to 507 of the family's 1533-position model. The record is from RNAcentral.